Molecule: unclassified non-coding RNA, 294 nt
Filed under: uncultured fungus
Lineage: Eukaryota; Fungi
Description: sequence contains ITS1
Source: RNAcentral
AGGACUACUGGGGUAUCUAAUCCUGUUUGCUCCCCACGCUUUCGUGCCUCAGCGUCAGUCAUGGUCCAGUAAGCCGUCUACACCGCCGGUGUUCCUCCUGAUAUCUACGCAUUUCACCGCUACACCAGGAAUUCCGCUUACCUCUCCCACACUCCAGCCCCGCAGUUUUCGGCGCACCCUCCCAGUUAAGCCGGGAGAUUUCACACCAAACUUACGGAACCGCCUACGCACUCUUUACGCCCAGUAACUCCGAACAACGCUUGCUGCCUACGUUUUACCGCGGCGGCUGGCACC